This 510-nucleotide ribosomal RNA is filed under the name uncultured bacterium. Its description in RNAcentral is "partial 16S ribosomal RNA". It matches the Rfam family "Bacterial small subunit ribosomal RNA", at positions 28 to 507 of the family's 1533-position model. The record is from RNAcentral.
GACGAACGCUGGCGGCGUGCUUAACACAUGCAAGUCGAACGAAGAGGGACGGAAGCUUUCCUCUAUCAGACUUGCUGGCGAAUGGGUGAGUAGCACGUAAUCAACCUGCCCUUCAGAGGGGAACAACAGUUGGAAACGAUAGCUAAUACCGCAUACGAACUAAUCUUGGCAUCGAGGAUGGAUGAACGGUGGCCUCUACAUGUAAGCUAUCACUGUAGGAUGGGAUUGCGUCUGAUUAGCUAGUUGGCGGGGUAACGGCGCACCAAGGCGAUGAUCAGUAGCCGGUCUGAGAGGAUGAACGGCCACAUUGGGACUGAGACACGGCCCAGACUCCUACGGGAGGCAGCAGUGGGGAAUCUUCCGCAAUAGACGAAAGUCUGACGGAGCAACGCCGCGUGAGUGAUGACGGCCUUCGGGUUGUAAAGCUCUGUUGAUCGGGACGAAAGGCCUUCUUGCUAAUAGUGAGAAGGAUUGACGGUACCGGAAUAGAAAGCCACGGCUAACUACGUG